GUAGCCUUGCCGGUUCGAGGUUCUCCGACACGGGUCGGAGCUAAGACGGGAACGCGGUGCCGAUGCCGCGGCUGCCCCCGCAACUGUAGGCGUUGAGCCCACCGACCAUUGCCACUGCCGGUUAUAUAAGGCGGGAAGGCGUCGAUGGCGUCCCGAGGACACAAUGCAAGCCAGGAGACCUGCCUCGACCAGAUUCCACAU
RNAcentral lists this non-coding RNA (201 nucleotides) under Pseudomonas putida. Lineage: Bacteria; Pseudomonadati; Pseudomonadota; Gammaproteobacteria; Pseudomonadales; Pseudomonadaceae. The record is from RNAcentral.